Molecule: ribosomal RNA, 658 nt
Filed under: uncultured Streptococcus sp.
Lineage: Bacteria; Bacillati; Bacillota; Bacilli; Lactobacillales; Streptococcaceae
Description: bacterial SSU rRNA
Rfam family: Bacterial small subunit ribosomal RNA
Source: RNAcentral
GACGAACGCUGGCGGCGUGCCUAAUACAUGCAAGUAGAACGCUGAAGACUUUAGCUUGCUAGAGUUGGAAGAGUUGCGAACGGGUGAGUAACGCGUAGGUAACCUGCCUAUUAGUGGGGGAUAACUAUUGGAAACGAUAGCUAAUACCGCAUAAUAGUGUUUAACACAUGUUAGAGACUUAAAAGAUGCAAUUGCAUCACUAGUAGAUGGACCUGCGUUGUAUUAGCUAGUUGGUGGGGUAACGGCCUACCAAGGCGACGAUACAUAGCCGACCUGAGAGGGUGAUCGGCCACACUGGGACUGAGACACGGCCCAGACUCCUACGGGAGGCAGCAGUAGGGAAUCUUCGGCAAUGGGGGCAACCCUGACCGAGCAACGCCGCGUGAGUGAAGAAGGUUUUCGGAUCGUAAAGCUCUGUUGUAAGAGAAGAACGUGUGUGAGAGUGGAAAGUUCACACAGUGACGGUAACUUACCAGAAAGGGACGGCUAACUACGUGCCAGCAGCCGCGGUAAUACGUAGGUCCCGAGCGUUGUCCGGAUUUAUUGGGCGUAAAGCGAGCGCAGGCGGUUUAAUAAGUCUGAAGUUAAAGGCAGUGGCUUAACCAUUGUUCGCUUUGGAAACUGUUAAACUUGAGUGCAGAAGGGGAGAGUGGAAUUC